Molecule: long non-coding RNA, 1575 nt
Organism: Catharus ustulatus (Swainson's thrush)
Lineage: Eukaryota; Metazoa; Chordata; Aves; Passeriformes; Turdidae
Exons: 4
Source: RefSeq, a predicted model, not a curated record
CGGGGCGCGGCGGGGCGGCCGGGCCCGAGCGCUGCGCUCCGGCAGGGCGGAGGUGGCAGGUUUGGAGGCUGUCCUGGACACAUUAAAUGUCAAGAAUUCCCUGGAGCCACCACAUACCAGAAGCCACCACAUGCUUAAAGGAUUCAUGAGGCUGCUCUGUCUUUAAGUGUACAGAGUCGAAUUGCUCAGUAAUGCUGGGUACUGUUUGGGAACACAGUAACACAGGAGCAGAUCCAAGGUGUGUUGCACACAGACUUCCCUCUGACAACCAAGCAGGUUCCUUCAUUAUUUUGGAGGGAAAUACAGUCAACAGAUUGAAGAUCAAAAAGAGUCAAAAACGAGAUGCGAAAUACCAGCCCAGUUUGAACUGAACAAGUGCCAUUUGAUCUUCUCUGCAGAGGAAGCAGUCUAGCAAUACACAUACAGCUGUGCCUACUGUUUGGAACAUACUGGGAGGUGUUUGAUCACUUCUGUUGUCUACUUAACCAUCAACUGUUAGAUUUGUUUUCCCUGAUGUGAUGGGGCAGGGGGAGGGGGAGGUCAGUGUCACCCAAGCUGCCAGAGAUUGACAGAGAUGUUUCCCAUCUGCUGACUGUAAUUGGUUUCCUCUGUUCUAAGCCAGAGGCACAACUCUCCUACCCUCCUUCUCCUUCCUUAUAUUUCCAACAAACAUCCCAUUAUGGUCCUGUGUGCUGCUCUUUUUGGUACUGUAAAACAGAUGUACUGGCCCGAAAAUGGAGAAGCAGCAGAGGCACAGGCUGCCCCAGAGUUUCAGACACAGCAGAACACAGUAGGCUCUGAACUAGUCUUCAAGGGCUGUGCAGUGAUGGUACCCAAUCCCUAUCUCCAAGCUUUUGGUCCAAGUGAUACCAUUGUUAGGGCUGUACAGGAGACCCUUAUCUGCAUUAGACAUGACCCCACCACAGCUGCAAUGACAGGACUAGAUGAGCUCCAGCCAUGUCUUCCAGCCUCUGCUGUUCCGUGAGUCUGUAUCCCAAAAGAAAAGCCAGAACUGGUGGUGUUUUCUCAAUAUCCUUGAAGAGACCCAGCUUUGGUAAGAGGUUCCAAUAACCAUGUUUAUAGAACCAAUUAAACAAAAACUAAUUGCAGAAUUCAACAGCCCAGGAGUUUUAACAGGCUUUCUUAUUUAACAAUAUAAGCAUUUAAUUUUUCUGCUUGGCAGCUUUGUACAAACAGGUGGGGAGGAGAGAUCUGGGCUGGCUUAACUUGUGUUUUUUGACACAGCCAAAUGUCAAUACUCAGAAGUGUGUCAUGCAAAUCAAAGCCUCAGAUCUGAAUGGCUCAGUCUUAAGGAAGUUUGCACAGAGAUACAGAUUUUACAGAUGGCUUCUAUCUUUUCAAUGAUCUGGCAAAGGCCUCGGAGCUGAACUACAGAGUAGUCUGGAGACGCAUGAUGCAGACUGAAUUAAUCUGAGAAUUUAUGGAUGAGGAAAGAAAAUGGUGUUGCUCUCCAAUUAAAAAAAAACAGUCUUUCAUUACACUGAAGGCUGAUGUUGUCCUAGUAGCCAAUUGCUCUUACAAUGAAGUAUGCGUUAAGAUUUCAGCCAAUGCAGA